RNAcentral lists this ribosomal RNA (635 nucleotides) under uncultured Marinobacter sp. Its description in RNAcentral is "bacterial SSU rRNA". It matches the Rfam family "Bacterial small subunit ribosomal RNA", at positions 870 to 1504 of the family's 1533-position model. The record is from RNAcentral. Lineage: Bacteria; Pseudomonadati; Pseudomonadota; Gammaproteobacteria; Pseudomonadales; Marinobacteraceae.
CGCCUGGGGAGUACGGCCGCAAGGUUAAAACUCAAAUGAAUUGACGGGGGCCCGCACAAGCGGUGGAGCAUGUGGUUUAAUUCGACGCAACGCGAAGAACCUUACCUGGCCUUGACAUCCAGAGAGCUUUCCAGAGAUGGAUUGGUGCCUUCGGGAACUCUGAGACAGGUGCUGCAUGGCCGUCGUCAGCUCGUGUCGUGAGAUGUUGGGUUAAGUCCCGUAACGAGCGCAACCCCUAUCCCUGGUUGCUAGCAGGUAAUGCUGAGAACUCCAGGGAGACUGCCGGUGACAAACCGGAGGAAGGUGGGGAUGACGUCAGGUCAUCAUGGCCCUUACGGCCAGGGCUACACACGUGCUACAAUGGCGCGUACAGAGGGCUGCCAACUCGCGAGAGUGAGCCAAUCCCUUAAAACGCGUCGUAGUCCGGAUCGGAGUCUGCAACUCGACUCCGUGAAGUCGGAAUCGCUAGUAAUCGCGAAUCAGAAUGUCGCGGUGAAUACGUUCCCGGGCCUUGUACACAUCGCCCGUCACACCAUGGGAGUGGAUUGCACCAGAAGUAGUUAGUCUAACCUUCGGGAGGACGAUUACCACGGUGUGGUUCAUGACUGGGGUGAAGUCGUAACAAGGUAACCGUA